This 1406-nucleotide long non-coding RNA is filed under the name Gallus gallus (chicken). RNAcentral's name for it is "lncRNA (ENSGALG00010007238.1)". Lineage: Eukaryota; Metazoa; Chordata; Aves; Galliformes; Phasianidae. The record is from RNAcentral.
CUCGGCACGGGCUGUAACCUCCAUUCCGAGCACGCAGCUCCUGGCAGCGCCGCUCAUACCAAAGCCUUGACUCAGGCUUAUCUGCAUGCUGGGUAAUGAGCAGCGUCACCAGAGGAAUGUGCAGAGAAAGCAGCCAUGCUGCUGCAAGCCUCCGCUCGCUCCUCGGCCGAACUGCCGAUUUAGCAGCCUGCCUCUGUGUGACCGGUUGGAGGUGGGGGCCUCAGUCUGGGGGGAGGCCCUGAGUCUGCUUUGAAGCCAAAACAGGGUUUUGCCCUUCCGUGAGUAAGCGCUUUGUAUGCAAGGCCGGACAGGACUUUGCUAACCUUAAUUGAGGACUGCGCCAAGUAAAGGGCGAAGUCACUCCUCCAGUCGCUGGGGGAGUUUAUCCAUGUUCCAGAUGGGCAGGCUGCAGCGCUCAGCCAACUCAUGCAGCAGACGCCUAUCUGAGGAAGGGAGAGAGUGCCUGACUGCCGCUCUCCCUUCUACUGGAUUAAAAGCAAGUUGUAAUAAUGACUGCAUACGGCUGAACACAAAAGCACUUGCACCACACAGGCGUUUGGGAACAACAUCUUCCAGAGCCAGGCUACUGUCUGUAGCCUGUGUCCUUUGCUCUGAUAGCUCUGAGGCCGUGGGCUGUUGCCGUUCUUGCUGAUGCAAUGCAGCGAGGGCUGGGGUGAAGGAGAGUGCAUACCUGUGUGUCAGAGGUAGGAGCUCCCCUUUGGCGAUGAUGGAAAGCACAGCAAAUUCAAAUCAAAGAUGAGAGGGGGUUGCUUUGAAUUGCUGUAUUCCAGAUGUAUCUGAGGCAAUCUCCCUCUUCACUGCACGUAUCGUGGUAGCAAGAGCAAAGAUCACAGCGUAGCCCAGGUUUUCAUUUGAACAUGUCCAGGCUGGCACACAGUUGAGAUAAUUGCUCCACGAAGAACUCAGACUGCACUGAUAAGAAAGGCCAGUUGGUGCAUCUAUUUUAUCCCACCUCCUUCAGCGAAAGAUUAUUUCGAGUAUCUUAUCAGAAAGAAGCAGCCUUUCAAAAGCUGUACCUUGAGGAGUGCCCAGAGUGGAGAUCCAUUCCAGCUCCAGCAGCAGACCCUGUGGAUGUCCCUCCACCUCAUCUCUGGGAACAGAGUUAGUGAUGUUCCCUGGCUGUUUGGUUGCUAUAAAUGAGGACAUUCUCCCCGAAUGCAAGUCAGCCCAGAUGCAGUGCCUGCAUGUCUGGAGUCAGUCUCAGCAUGGUCAGAACAAGAACCAAACAGCUCCAUGAUUUGUGCUGCACACAGAGGCCUCUCUCACUGGGGAGCUGCUCUUCACUGCGAUUCUCACCCUCUGCACCGGCAGCAGUAGUGUCCAGACAUGCAGACAAACAUUUGAGGGUGACUUUUUUAGCUCCAUCAGUGCAGGGCUAAGCCUGC